Molecule: unclassified non-coding RNA, 325 nt
Filed under: uncultured fungus
Lineage: Eukaryota; Fungi
Description: partial contains small subunit ribosomal RNA, internal transcribed spacer 1, and 5.8S ribosomal RNA
Rfam family: Eukaryotic small subunit ribosomal RNA (bases 1-73)
Source: RNAcentral
GCAAACUUGGUCAUUUAGAGGAAGUAAAAGUCGUAACAAGGUUUCCGUAGGUGAACCUGCGGAAGGAUCAUUAAAGUAAGAUUUAUAUACAAAAUCUGAACUUUUGUGGUAAUAAUGGAAAAGAAAUGAUUUGGGUUUAAAAAUGGUGUUCUCUGAUUUUCUUUUAUUUGAAUUUAAGAGAGUAUCGACCUAAAAACUUAUAAACUCUAUAUUAUUAUUGUGACUGAUAUAUCAAGUAAAAUAAUUCAAUUUGAUUGGAUUAAAAAAGUUAUAAAUAACUUUCAACAACGGAUCUCUUGGUUCUCGCAUCGAUGAAGAACGCAGC